UUUAGUGGCCUACGACGGUUACACAACACGCCGGAAGCACUCUUCCACUUCAUCCAUCCAGCUUGUAUUCUAUGGUUGAGAUCUCCAUCUAAUUCUCCGUUCUUUUGCAAGAUAGAUCCUAGGUAGCGAAAACGGUCGCUCUUUGGUAUUUCCUGAUCUCCGAUCCUCACCCCUAACUCAUUUUGGCCUCCAUUUGCAAUGAACUUGCACUCCAUAUAUUCUGUCUUUGAUCGGCUUAGGCGAAGACCUUUAGAUUCCAACACUUCUCUCCAAAAGUUAAGCUUCGCAUUUACCCCUCCUGAGUUUCAUCUAUCAACACUAUAUUGUCUGCGAAAAGCAUACACCAAGGAAUAUCAUCUUGAAUAUGUCCUGUUAACUCAUCCAUUACCAACGCAAAAAGGUAAGGACUUAAAGAUUGUUGAUGCACAAAAUCAGUGAGGACUUUGGUACAACAGAGAGUAUUAAGUUUGUGAUCUUCGCUAGAUUGCUCUGGUCAUUAGUGUGGAUAAGUAUGUAAAUGGAUAGAGACAGGAAAGCAAACAAAAGAUGUACGUGGUUCACCCAGAUUGGCUACGUCCACGGAGUAGAGGAGUUCUCAUUAAUUGUGAAGGGUUUAUGCAAGUACAUAGGUUCAAGCUCUCCUUUAGUGAGUACAAGUGAAUGAUUUAGUACAAAUGACAUAGGUUCAGGCUCUCGUCUUCACUUGCCUUAACUGUCUCAUAGGUAGAUGUGGCAUCUUCUCUGGAAGUACGCUUCCUCCAUCCAGGGGUGGUAUCUUUAAUUGGUGGAGAUGCACAAGGUAAUGUAUCAAUUUCACUUGAAGCUUACUUGUAGUUUCAGGCUUGGUCAAGCGCGAUACAAACCAUGUAGUAGGAGUCCCUCAAGUCGCCGAGCUAGGGGAUCUGCUGAAAGAGGUGACAGACAAGGUAAGCAAUCAGAGCUCCAAGCAAUCAGUCCCAGAUCAGAAGUUUGAUUUCGAGUUCCGGCUGAUUGUUCUCAUUCUCCCUAUCUUGCAGGCAGCAUGAAGGAUAAAGAGAAGAAAAGGAGAAUAUAUGAUAUGAGAUACUUUUGCUUUUGAAGAAGUAACUUUCCGCAGGCUUAUUCUUGAACUGGGCUGGAGGAUUUUUUGGUUUCCUCCAGAGUAUAAGGCCGACUGAAGAAUUUGAGGGUCAAAACACGUCCAUCAAAUCUAGAGUACGUUCGACCUUGCUGAUAUGGGAUACUUUUGCUGUUGACAAAGUAGUGGAUGUAUCGGCACGUGUUCUCUUAUGCUUGUCUCCACAUGCUUCCUUGUAUCCUUUUCACUUUCCUUAUCUGUUCCUCAGGCAGAUGUGGUAUCUUCUCUGGAAGCAUAAGAUGUUGAAGAUGGGUACUCGAGAGCAAUGCCAAGUAAGUAAUCAGGUAAGGGGUUCCAGGCAGUUAGUUCCUGACUGGAAGCUUGAUUCCAAGUGCUAACUGAUUGCUCUCUUUCUCCUUGUCUUGCAGGUAAGAACAAGGCCAAAGGAAAAGACAGGGAAAAAGCAUGAUAUGGGAUACUCUUGCUUUUAACCCUAAUGAUAUGAGAUAUUCUUGCUCUGGUGUAGCUUGUUUGCAGAGGUAUUAUCGGGGGGAAAGAAAGCUGAGUAUUUCGAGAGGCUUCGUUGGGAGUGCCCUCUCAGAUAUGAGGAAGGGUUGAGCAUUUUUGCAGGUCUGCCUGUCCGUUGAGGAUGGAGGUCGACAUAUAUAGGAGUUUCCCUAACAACAAGUAGUAAUGCUAUUCCUUUACCCUGCUUGAUCAUAGCACGGUAGUGGGAGCUGCCAACUUCACGUGUGUCAGAGCACUUUGAAAAAGUGAUCUGUGGUAUCUGGAAAGCUGAUGUUGCGUGUGAAGAUUACAGACAAGCUUUAUCCAAGGAAAUCUGGCUCUCGAAGUUGAGAAAGCGGUGCCUCUUCGGUUUUCGUACAAGCAAUCCUGUUGGAGAUCUGGCUCUCGAGAUUCGGAAAACGGUGCCUCUUCGAUUUUUGAGAGAGCAAUCCUGCGGGGAGUCUAGCUCUCGAGAUUCGAAGAGCGGUGUCUCUUCGAUUUUUGAGAAAGUAAUCAUGUUGGGAGUCUGGCUCUCGAGAUUUGGAGGACGGUGUCUCUUCGAUUUUGGAGCAAGCAAUCUUGUUGGGAGUGUUUUCUCGAAUGUAAGUAAAGGUUGGGCAUGUUUGCUAGUCUACCUUGCCACAGAGCACAGAGGUCGACACACAAGGACUUUCCAAUUAUCCAGCAGCAGUGCUGUUCCUUUACCCUUGUAGGUAAUAAUAUGGUAGCUAGACCUUCAAAAUUUAUGUAUCUAAACUUUGUUAGUGCUGUUUCUUUGCUAUUCUUUUACCCUUCUUGGUCAUAGCGAUGUAGUGGGAGCUGCAAGCUUCACGUGUCUAAACUUUGUCAGAGAUCUUUGGCAAAGUUAUCUAUGGUACCCAUGAGCUGAUGGUGCGUGUGGAAAGUGGAUGAUUGAACAGUAAGAUUCACGUGCUUUCUACUUCACCAGAAAUCUUCAACAGAAUGCCCGUAAUUUCAGCAAAGCUGAGUGUGCAUGUGACAGGUGCUGACAAGGCUGAAAAAAGCAGGUGCCUCUUCGAUUUCUGAGAUCGGCCCUCGUGGUCUCUGAGCAGCCCAGCUUUUGAGAAAGCAAGCGCCUCUUCGAUUUCUGAGAUCGGCCUUCGUGGUCUUUGAGCAGCCCAGCUUUUGAGAAAGCAAGCGCCUCUUCGAUUUCUGAGAUCGGCCUUCGUGGUCUUUGAGCAGCCCAGCUUUUGAGAAAGCAAACGCCUCUUCAAUUUCUGAGAUCGGCCCUCGUGGUCUCUGAGCAGCCCAGCUUUUGAGAAAGCAAACGCCUCUUCGAUUUCUGGGCAGGCGCCUCUUCGAUUUCUGAAGCUCCGUCGAGUGCAGAUUUUUAUAGAGGCUGGCAUUAAGUUCCAAAGCACACUUGAAUCUUCACCAGUAGAAGCUCCCUUCUUGCACUUCUAAGAUCUUGAUUUGUCCGACCUCUUCUCUCUUCAACACCUUUGAAAAUGUCUAGCCCCUCCGACCGUCGUUUUGACUUGAACCUCGUUGAAGAGGCAGCCACGCCUUCUCCAGACAACAUAUAGCGCCCAUCCUUCUUAUCUCCUACUGGUCCGCUUACCGUUGGGGAUUCCGUGAUGAAGAAAGAUAUGACUGCUGCGGUGGUGGCCAGGAACCUUCUCACUCCCAAAGAUAACAGACUACUUUCCAAACGGUCUGAUGAGUUGGCUGUUAAGGAUUCUAUGGCUCUAAGUGUUCAGUGUGCAGGUUCUGUGUCUAAUAUGGCCCAGCGCCUAUUUGCUCGAACCCGCCAAGUUGAAUCAUUGGCAGCUGAAGUGAUGAGUCUUAAACAAGAGAUUAGAGGGCUCAAGCAUGAGAAUAAACAGUUGCACCGGCUCGCACAUGAGUAUGCUACAAACAUGAAGAGGAAGCUUGACCAGAUGAAGGAAUCUGAUGGUCAGGUUUUACUUGAUCAUCAGCGGUUUGUGGGUUUGUUCCAAAGGCAUUUAUUGCCUUCGUCUUCUGGGGCUGUACCGCGUACUGAAGCUCCAAAUGAUCAACCUUCGAUGCCUCCUCCUUCUAGGGUUCUGUCCAGUACUGAGGCUCCGAAUGAUCCCCCUCCGGUGCCUUCUCUUUUUGGGGCUCUACCGACUGCUGAGACUUCUCCUAAGCAACCUUUGUGAAGGCUCCCUCUUGUUUGUUUAUUUUGACUCAUGUAUAUGUACAUAUUUGUAACUUAUCGGAGAUAUCAAUAAAUAAGUUUUGCUUCAUUUCAACGUAUUGUGUUAAAUACACCAAAGCCUUCUUCACUGAGUGGGGUCGGCUAUAUGAAUCUUAGAACGCCAUUGUGCUCGGUCAUGUGUCAUGUCCUCCGUUAGAUCCAAAUACUCUAAGUCUUUUCUUAGAGUCUCUUCCAAAGUUUUCCUAGGUCUUCCUCUACCCCUCCGGCCCUAAACCUCUGUCCCGUAGUCGCAUCUUCUAACCGGAGCGUCAGUAGGCCUUCUUUGCACAUGUCCAAACCACCGUAACCGAUUUUCUCUCAAUUUUCCUACAAUUUCGGCUACUCCUACUUUACCUCGGAUAUCCUCAUUCCUAAUCUUAUCCUUUCUCGUGUGCCCAUACAUCCAACGAAGCAUCCUCAUCUCCGCUACACCCAUUUUGUGUACGUGUUGAUGCUUCACCGCCCAACAUUCUGUGCCAUACAGCAUCGCCGGCCUUAUUGCUGUCCUAUAAAAUUUUCCCUUGAGCUUCAGUGGCAUACGGCGGUCACACAACACGCCGGAUGCACUCUUCCACUUCAUUCAUCCAGCUUGUAUUCUAUGGUUGAGAUCUCCAUCUAAUUCUCCGUUCUUUUGCAAGAUAGAUCCUAAGUAGCGAAAACGAUCGCUCUUUGGUAUUUCCUGAUCUCCGAUCCUCACCCCUAACUCAUUUUGGCCUCCAUUUGCACUGAACUUGCACUCCAUAUAUUCUGUCUUUGAUAGGCUUAGGCGAAGACCUUUAGAUUCCAACACUUCUCUCCAAAGGUUAAGCUUCGCAUUUACCCCUUCCUGGGUUUCAUCUAUCAACACUAUAUCGUCUGCGAAAAGCAUACACCAAGGAAUAUCAUCUUGAAUAUGUCCUGUUAACUCAUCCAUUACCAACGCAAAAAGGUAAGGACUUAAGGAUGAGCCUUGAUGUAAUCCUACAGUUAUGGGGAAGCUUUCGGUUUGUCCUUCAUGAGUUCUUACGGCAGUCUUUGCUCCUUCAUACAUAUCCUUUAUAGCUUGGAUAUAUGCUACUCGUAUUCCUUUCUUCUCUAAAAUCCUCCAAAGAAUGUCUCUUGGGACCCUAUCAUACGCUUUUUCCAAAUCUAUAAAGACCAUGUGUAAAUCCUUUUUCCCAUCUCUAUAUCUUUCCAUCAAUCUUCGUAAGAGAUAGAUUGCCUCCAUGGUUGAGCGCCCUGGCAUGAACCCGAAUUGGUUGUCCGAAACCCGUGUCUCUUGCCUCAAUCUAUGCUCAAUGACUCUCUCCCAGAGCUUCAUUAUAU
Molecule: long non-coding RNA, 5051 nt
Filed under: Malus domestica (apple)
Lineage: Eukaryota; Viridiplantae; Streptophyta; Magnoliopsida; Rosales; Rosaceae
Description: long non-coding RNA (MDOM_LNC010240)
Source: RNAcentral